Molecule: long non-coding RNA, 1099 nt
Filed under: Mus spicilegus (steppe mouse)
Lineage: Eukaryota; Metazoa; Chordata; Mammalia; Rodentia; Muridae
Description: lncRNA (ENSMSIG00000023089.1)
Source: RNAcentral
ACAAUAAGAUCAGCCACGGCCAGCUCCUGACAUGAGUGUUCCUGGCACACCGUGCUCCUGCAAACAGAUGCUCCUGUCACCUUGUGCACCUGACUCCCGUGCUCCUAUAUUCAGUGCUCCUAAAACCAGUGCGCCUAAAACCAGUGCGCCUAAAACCAGUGCUUCUGCUAUCUCCUGCUCCUGCCAUCUAGUUCCUGGCACCUCCUGCUCUUAACAUCAGGACUCAUACCACAGUGCUCCUGCCACCAAGUUCCUAGCUCCAGCCAAAGUGCUCCUGACAGCAGUGCGCCUAACACCAGUGUUCCUGACAUCAAGCUCCUAAAACUAGUGCUCCUGCCACAGUGCUCAGGUUACAAGGCUCUGGACAACAGUGCACCUGAAACACAAUGCUCCUCCUACACCUGCUCCUACCACAGUGCUCCUGCCACAGUGUCCCUGACACCAAUGCUCCUGACUCCAAUGCUCCACCCACAGUGCUCCACCCACAGUGCUCCUGCCACAGUGCUCCUGCUAUGACCUGCUCCUACUCCCUCCUCCUGCUGCUGCAAUGCUCCUGCACCAGUGCUCCUGUAACCUCCUGCUCCUGCCACCAUAUGAUCCUGACAACAGGGCUCCUUCCACCAUGUGAUCCUGACUCCAAUGCUCCUGCCACAGUGCUGCUGACAGGACAUGCUCGUGACACCAUGUGCUCCUGCUACCUCCUACUCCUACCACCAGUAUUCCUGACAUCAAUGCUCCUUACACCAGUACUUCUGGAACUAGUGACCCAGACACCAAGGGUCUAGACUUUAGUCCUUCUGACUCCAGUGUUGCUGACUCCAGUGCUCCUGAAUCCAAUGUUCUUGACUCCAGUGCUCCUGACUCCAGUGCUCCUGAAUCCAGUGUUCCUGACUCCAGUGCUCCUGACUUUAGUCUUCCUGACAACAGUGCUCCUGCCACAGUGCUCCUGCUAACUCCUCCUCCUUGCACAGUGCUCCUCCUAACAGUACUCCUGCCAGUGCUCCUGCUAUCACCUGCUUCUAACACCAGUGCUCCUGAGACCACCACUUUCCCUCUUCAGACUCUGAACAAAAUAAACCUGUCUUUCUUUAAGCUGUCA